RNAcentral lists this ribosomal RNA (605 nucleotides) under uncultured bacterium. RNAcentral's name for it is "bacterial SSU rRNA". It matches the Rfam family "Bacterial small subunit ribosomal RNA", at positions 88 to 711 of the family's 1533-position model. The record is from RNAcentral.
UGACUGAGUGGCGGACGGGUGAGUAACGCGUGGGUAACCUGCCUUGUACAGGGGGAUAACAGUUGGAAACGGCUGCUAAUACCGCAUAAGCGCACGGCAUCGCAUGAUGCAGUGUGAAAAACUCCGGUGGUAUAAGAUGGACCCGCGUUGGAUUAGCUAGUUGGUGAGGUAACGGCCUACCAAGGCAACGAUCCAUAGCCGACCUGAGAGGGUGACCGGCCACAUUGGGACUGAGACACGGCCCAAACUCCUACGGGAGGCAGCAGUGGGGAAUAUUGCACAAUGGGCGAAAGCCUGAUGCAGCGACGCCGCGUGAGCGAAGAAGUAUUUCGGUAUGUAAAGCUCUAUCAGCAGGGAAGAUAAUGACGGUACCUGACUAAGAAGCACCGGCUAAAUACGUGCCAGCAGCCGCGGUAAUACGUAUGGUGCAAGCGUUAUCCGGAUUUACUGGGUGUAAAGGGAGCGCAGGCGGUGCGGCAAGUCUGAUGUGAAAGCCCGGGGCUCAACCCCGGUACUGCAUUGGAAACUGUCGUACUAGAGUGUCGGAGGGGUAAGCGGAAUUCCUAGUGUAGCGUUGAAAUGCGUAUAUAUUAUGAGGAACACCA